RNAcentral lists this ribosomal RNA (277 nucleotides) under uncultured bacterium. RNAcentral describes it as "partial 16S ribosomal RNA". It matches the Rfam family "Bacterial small subunit ribosomal RNA", at positions 28 to 297 of the family's 1533-position model. The record is from RNAcentral.
GACGAACGCUGGCGGCGUGCUUAAUACAUGCAAGUCGAACGAGGCCCAUCCGGUUGAAAGACUGGAGAAGGCCGAGUGGCGAACGGGUGAGUAACACGUGAGCAACCUGCCCCGAAGACCGGGAUAACAGUGGGAAACCGCUGCUAAUACCGGAUGUCCCCACCGAGUCUCCUGGCCUGGUGAGGAAAUGGACUCCGCUUCGGGAGGGGCUCGCGGCCUAUCAGCUUGUUGGUGGGGUAACGGCCUACCAAGGCGACGACGGGUAGCUGGUCUGAGA